GACGGAGGGUGCUAGCGUUGUUCGGAUUUACUGGGCGUAAAGGGCGCGUAGGCGGUCCGAUAAGUCCCGUGUGAAAUCCCUCGGCUCAACUGAGGAAUGGCACGGGAAACUGACGGGCUUGAGUUCGGGAGAGGGAAGCGGAAUUCCGGGUGUAGCGGUGAAAUGCGUAGAUAUCCGGAGGAGCACCGGUGGCGAAGGCGGCUUCCUGGACCGACACUGACGCUGAGGCGCGAAAGCUAGGGGAGCAAACGGG
RNAcentral lists this ribosomal RNA (253 nucleotides) under uncultured bacterium. RNAcentral describes it as "partial 16S ribosomal RNA". It matches the Rfam family "Bacterial small subunit ribosomal RNA", at positions 524 to 776 of the family's 1533-position model. The record is from RNAcentral.